GAUGAACGCUGGCGGCGUGCCUAAUACAUGCAAGUCGAGCGAACAGACGAGGAGCUUGCUCCUUUGACGUUAGCGGCGGACGGGUGAGUAACACGUGGGUAACCUACCUAUAAGACUGGGAUAACUUCGGGAAACCGGAGCUAAUACCGGAUAAUAUUUCGAACCGCAUGGUUCGAUAGUGAAAGAUGGCUUUGCUAUCACUUAUAGAUGGACCUGCGCCGCAUUAGCUAGUUGGUAAGGUAACGGCUUACCAAGGCAACGAUGCGUAGCCGACCUGAGAGGGUGAUCGGCCACACUGGAACUGAGACACGGUCCAGACUCCUACGGGAGGCAGCAGUAGGGAAUCUUCCGCAAUGGGCGAAAGCCUGACGGAGCAACGCCGCGUGAGUGAUGAAGGUCUUCGGAUCGUAAAACUCUGUUAUUAGGGAAGAACAAACGUGUAAGUAACUGUGCACGUCUUGACGGUACCUAAUCAGAAAGCCACGGCUAACUACGUG
RNAcentral lists this ribosomal RNA (497 nucleotides) under uncultured bacterium. RNAcentral's name for it is "partial 16S ribosomal RNA". It matches the Rfam family "Bacterial small subunit ribosomal RNA", at positions 28 to 507 of the family's 1533-position model. The record is from RNAcentral.